CGGGUGAGUAACACGUAUCCAACCUGCCGUCUACUCUUGGACAGCCUUCUGAAAGGAAGAUUAAUACAAGAUGGCAUCAUGAGUCCACAUGUUCACAUGAUUAAAGGUAUUCCGGUAGACGAUGGGGAUGCGUUCCAUUAGAUAGUAGGCGGGGUAACGGCCCACCUAGUCUUCGAUGGAUAGGGGUUCUGAGAGGAAGGUCCCCCACAUUGGAACUGAGACACGGUCCAA
This 231-nucleotide ribosomal RNA is filed under the name uncultured bacterium. RNAcentral's name for it is "partial 16S ribosomal RNA". It matches the Rfam family "Bacterial small subunit ribosomal RNA", at positions 103 to 334 of the family's 1533-position model. The record is from RNAcentral.